RNAcentral lists this ribosomal RNA (493 nucleotides) under uncultured bacterium. RNAcentral's name for it is "partial 16S ribosomal RNA". It matches the Rfam family "Bacterial small subunit ribosomal RNA", at positions 30 to 523 of the family's 1533-position model. The record is from RNAcentral.
AUUGAACGCUGGCGGCAUGCUUUACACAUGCAAGUCGAACGGUAACAGGUUAAGCUGACGAGUGGCGAACGGGUGAGUAAUGCAUCGGAACAUGCCCGAUCGUGGGGGAUAACGCAGCGAAAGCUGCGCUAAUACCGCAUACGAUCUGAGGAUGAAAGCGGGGGACCGUAAGGCCUCGCGCGAUCGGAGCGGCCGAUGUCAGAUUAGGUAGUUGGUGGGGUCAACGCUCACCAAGCCGACGAUCUGUAGCUGGUCUGAGAGGAUGACCAGCCACACUGGGACUGAGACACGGCCCAGACUCCUACGGGAGGCAGCAGUGGGGAAUUUUGGACAAUGGGCGAAAGCCUGAUCCAGCAAUGCCGCGUGCAGGAAGAAGGCCUUCGGGUUGUAAACUGCUUUUGUACGGAGCGAAAAGGCUCUCUCUAAUACAGGGGGCUCAUGACGGUACCGUAAGAAUAAGCACCGGCUAACUACGUGCCAGCCGCCGCCGUAA